GACAGAGGUUGCAAACGUUGUUCGGAAUUACUGGGCAUAAAGCGCACGUAGGCGGUUCGUUAAGUCAUGUGUGAAAUCCCUCGGCUCAACCGAGGAAUUGCGCCUGAUACGGGCAGACUAGAGUACUGCAGGGGAGACUGGAAUUCCUGGUGUAGCGGUGGAAUGCGCAGAUAUCAGGAGGAACACCGGUGGCGAAGGCGGGUCUCUGGGCAGUAACUGACGCUGAGGAGCGAAAGCGUGGGGAGCGAACAGG
RNAcentral lists this ribosomal RNA (253 nucleotides) under uncultured bacterium. Its description in RNAcentral is "partial 16S ribosomal RNA". It matches the Rfam family "Bacterial small subunit ribosomal RNA", at positions 524 to 776 of the family's 1533-position model. The record is from RNAcentral.